RNAcentral lists this small RNA (67 nucleotides) under Acididesulfobacillus acetoxydans. Its description in RNAcentral is "Peptococcaceae bacterium INE non-coding RNA". Lineage: Bacteria; Bacillati; Bacillota; Clostridia; Eubacteriales; Peptococcaceae. The record is from RNAcentral.
GUUUCAAUUCCUCAUAGGCAGGCUAUCGGCAGGAGUAGAUCAUUUCCCAUGACUUAUUUCCCAUCUG